RNAcentral lists this long non-coding RNA (882 nucleotides) under Gopherus agassizii (Agassiz's desert tortoise). Its description in RNAcentral is "lncRNA (ENSGAGG00000010438.1)". The record is from RNAcentral. Lineage: Eukaryota; Metazoa; Chordata; Testudines; Testudinidae.
CUCCAUGUUAUUUGUAGUUUACAGUGCUUAGAGACAAGAAGAAGAAGAAAUCCCUAAACCCAGCUACCAGAUUAUGCUGCAAUUAAUGGGAAUCUGUACAUCAUUCUGAUUGUUGCUGAGAUUUUUGAAGACUUUCUUUUAAAAAAUAAAACAAAAACCCCAAAACCUUUGCCCUUGACUGACACCAGCCUUACAAUGGUAGGAUUGGCAUUCCGCCAAUUUCUCACCCGAUAAGACAGGGCAGGAGGGUAGAGAAAAGCACUGACAACAUGGCCGUUGUUUAGUCUACACUCUUAAGACCUUAAUAGGAAGGAACAAUUCUUCAGUGUCGCGAAGGGUUUGCCAGUAUGCAUCUGCUGCAGUGGGAAAACUAAGUGGGACGCCUGGCACUAUUCAAAUCAGAGUGAGCAUGGUGGAAAGGACCUUCAGAAAACUUCAGAGCAGACAUUCUCCUAUUGUUGUUGCUGGGAGCUGGCAGCCAGGGGUAGUUGUGGCAGGGAAAGCAUGUGGAUGAGAAGCUGGAACCGGUUGCUAGGUAAGGACCGCCUUCCCUUCUUCCAGGCCUGCAUGCACUUGCACAAUCAAGAAAUGCCAUGGAGCUCACUCAGUGUCUUCCAUCUGCUUUUACAGGAGACUGCAGAACUGCAAGGUGAACACAUUGGCAUCCUCUCUCCAUAUCUGGUCCCUGAGGCUUGUUUCCCACCAUUCACAGGUAUGUCUGUCUCAGAUUGCACCCAAAAAGAUGCAGUAGUUAUUUGGCAAGAUGAAAUCAAGGCACACAAAGAAAAGGCUCCUGAGAAUCCAUUGAGAGGCUUUCAGGCCCUCAGAAGUUGUACCAACCAGAAUCCACUGUCAACUACCUUGGGCAUGUGCCUGCUCUGA